Molecule: unclassified non-coding RNA, 210 nt
Filed under: uncultured fungus
Lineage: Eukaryota; Fungi
Description: sequence contains ITS1, 5.8S rRNA gene
Rfam family: 5.8S ribosomal RNA (bases 162-210)
Source: RNAcentral
UUUCCGUAGGUGAACCUGCGGAAGGAUCAUUAGAGAUUGGCCUAACGGCCGUGUCUUCAUCCACACACACCGUGAACCGUUCUCGAGCACCCUCAGGGGCGCCCGGGACACACACACCAAAAACUCUGUGUAAUGAAUGUAAACUAUACGUAACAAAACAAAACUUUCAACAACGGAUCUCUUGGCUCUCGCAUCGAUGAAGAACGCAGC